UUCAAAAGAUGUAAGAUUCAAGAACAAAACCGUAGGUUUUAUUUGCAAUAUGGUAUGAUGAUGCCAUCCACAUCAAAUUAAAUUACAAAGAUGUUAUUCUUCUUCCAAAAAACAUUUCUGUCAUUUUCCAAACAUACACCCCUUAUUACAACUUUAGUUUCACAAUCACUUUGGUAAAGAUUUAACAACUUUCACUACCACAAAAGAAGCGAGCAUGUCUGGAAAGAAAAUAAAUAAAAUACUUAGAAGGCUUCAUCCCUGUAACAAUUUGGUGACAGCUUUGUGACACAAAACAUGAAACAGAAAACUUUGAAAAAGUUUUUGAAUAGGAAUAACAAAAUUUAAAAUUGAAACACAUCACUGUAUAUAGUCAUACAGAGUUGAUAACAAUCAAGGAGGCAGCCCUUGAACAUAGUGUUCUUUCUGGAAUUCAUUCCACUAUGGACUGUAGUGCAAAUCUGUCUUCCCAUCUAAAAUAGCUCUAGAUGGGGACAAAUGUUAAAAUAAAAUUAAAAAACUAUGUAUCCUACCCAGGUUUGGAUAAAGCCUUUGUUGAGUUCGUCAUCCUAUCCUAUCUGUUUAUCUUAUUCACAAAUAAUUUCACACACCAAUAUGGCUGUAAACAACUUAUCCUUGGUUUACGUAUACUCCCAGCACAAAAGGUUCACAUGAGUUGAACUAAAGCAAAUUAUGCAUAUUGCACCAGGGCAGAGUGGCAUGAAGAAUUCAUCCUCACAAUUGAACUAAAGGAAAUUAUGCAUAUUUCUGCGGGGCUGAAUGACAUGAAGAAGUGCACUUUCACCUAUUACACCAAUAUGGUUGUAAACAACUCAUCCUCAUAAUUUUGUUAAAGUAUACACCCUGCACAAAACGUUCACCUGAGUUGAACUAAAGGAAAUUAUGCAUAUUCCCCAGAGAAGAAGAAGAGACAUGAUGAAGUAGAAGUGAUGUGAAAGCAAAACCAAUAUUUUUUAUGCCAGAGAAACAUAUGUUGCUUAGGACAUAAAAAUAUUAAAGAAUCAGAAAAUAAGUUCUUACUGCUGUUCCAAGGAGGGAAAAAAAUUAAAAAUGUUACCUGAAAUGGCAUUCUAGUAAAAGGGUCAAUAUCACCUCUUGCUAUACCUUUUGCUAUAUGUUGAGGUAUCGAUGUGUCC
Molecule: non-coding RNA, 1154 nt
Organism: Camellia sinensis
Lineage: Eukaryota; Viridiplantae; Streptophyta; Magnoliopsida; Ericales; Theaceae
Source: RefSeq, a predicted model, not a curated record